UCUUCGGCCGUCCGAGUUGUAAUCUAGAGAAGCGUCUUCCGCGCUGGCCCGUGUACAAGUCUCCUGGAAAGGAGCAUCAUAGAGGGUGAGAAUCCCGUCUUUGACACGGACUACCAGUGCUAUGUGAUGCGCUCUCGACGAGUCGAGUUGUUUGGGAAUGCAGCUCAAAAYGGGUGGUAAAUUCCAUCUAAAGCUAAAUACAGGCGAGAGACCGAUAGCGAACAAGUACCGUGAGGGAAAGAUGAAAAGAACUUUGGAAAGAGAGUUAAACCGUACGUGAAAUUGCUGAAAGGGAAACGCUUGAUGUCAGUCGCGUCGGCCGGGGAUCAACCUUGCUUCUCGCUGGGUGUAUUUCCUGGUCGACGGGUCAGCAUCAGUUUCGGUCGCCGUACAAGGACGAGGGGAACGUGGCACUCUCCGGAGUGUGUUAUAGCC
RNAcentral lists this ribosomal RNA (435 nucleotides) under Xerocomellus perezmorenoi. RNAcentral describes it as "Xerocomellus sp. CRM-2022b partial large subunit ribosomal RNA". The record is from RNAcentral. Lineage: Eukaryota; Fungi; Basidiomycota; Agaricomycetes; Boletales; Boletaceae.